CAUAUAUAAAGAUCUACUGUGGAAUUAACUCAACUUUAAGUAUACAUGUAUUUCCAAUGAAGAUCUACUGUUGAAUUGACUAACAAAUCAAUAGCUUGCCAAAUGUCUGUCAAUCUUUUCUGUUUCUGUUUCUGUUUCUGGUGUCAAUUCAAAGACACCAUCCCAAUCCGAAUUUGGGACUGCCAAGAAAUGCAAAGAGAAGAAAGAGAUUCUCUUUUCUUAUUAAUUAUUUUUCAGAACAUACAAAAUAGUCCUUUCGUCACAUGUGUUGGAUUGUAUAUAUUUCAGAAUAUACGGACUAUACAAGUUGCGAGCAGUUAAUGUGCAAACUGCGAGAUGAGGAUAUAAGCUUAAGAGGAACCUAAGAAGCACCUUGCAGCACAACAGCGAUUCUUUAUUCCAAAACUCUGAUCUUAUGUCCAAGUAAAGCAAUUUGCACAUACUAAAG
This 448-nucleotide long non-coding RNA is filed under the name Ricinus communis (castor bean). RNAcentral describes it as "long non-coding RNA (RCOM_LNC000964)". The record is from RNAcentral. Lineage: Eukaryota; Viridiplantae; Streptophyta; Magnoliopsida; Malpighiales; Euphorbiaceae.